CCUACGGGUGGCAGCAGUGAGGAAUAUUGGGCAAUGGACGAGAGUCUGAACCAGCCCAGUAGCGUGAAGGAUGACGGCCCUAUGGGUUGUAAAAUUCUUUUAUAUGGGAAUAAAAUGUUCCAAGGGUGGGAUUUUGUAUGUACCAUAUGAAUACGGAUAGGCUAACUCCGUGCCGGCCGCCGCGGUAAUACGGAGGGUCCGAGCGUUAACCGGAUUUAGUGGGUUGAAGGGGAGUGGAGGUGUAUUGUUAAGUCAGUUGUUAAAGUUUGCGGAUCAACCGUAAAAUUGCAGUUGACACUGGCAGUCUUGAGUACAGUAUAGGUGAGCGGAAUUCGAUGUGUAGCGGUGAAAUGCUUAGAU
Molecule: ribosomal RNA, 360 nt
Filed under: uncultured bacterium
Lineage: Bacteria
Description: partial 16S ribosomal RNA
Rfam family: Bacterial small subunit ribosomal RNA
Source: RNAcentral